GGUGCCCUCUGUCCGCCGGGUGUUCUCUGCCUGCUACGACCCCGGCGGGCUUGUCCCGCCCGCCUUCCAGAGCCGCAGGCUGAGGGAUCGGCCGCGGGAUCGGGUUGGGCCCAGCGGGGCUGGCGGCUGUGGGGGGGCGCGGGGGCUGCGAGCGCUGUGGGUUUCCCUGCCCGCCUUGGCUCCUGCCGCACUCCUGUGCUUGUUCUUCCCCGGAGCUCUGGAGGUGUUGCUCACACGCCGCCUCUGCAGGGUAGGAAGUGCCUUUGCUCCUGAGGCCAGGGAAGGAGAAACAGCAGUCUGAGGGCUUAACCAUGACCAGCAAGGUGAGGAGCAGUUCACACAUCCCCUGGCAGAGUCCCAUCAGCGUGUGCUGCCUGAGCUUCCUGCUGAAGGUGACCCUCAGCAAGAGCUGCCUUUCAGAAUAUGGAAAUUCCACAGCACAGAUGUAGGUAGCAGUCACAAGAGAUUAAAUGCUGUUAUGUGUAACGAAGCAUGAAGAUGACAAGGUAUAUGAACCAGAGGCUUUUCAGCUCAAUCACAUCAUCCAGCACAUAAUUAUACAGAUUUUGUAUUUCAGACACCAAUGUCACCUUGGGGUUGAAAUCAUUCUAGAUGAAUCGGUGAAGACACUAUUGAUCCAAAAUUUAUUAGCAGUGUUCUGCUAGAGCCAGCGGAGGGCAGACUUGAAUUGGAAACUCUUUUUGCUACUGCAGUUACUUGAAGUUAAAAUACCAGAUUUAUCAUGUCUUGAGCUCAAAGUCUCAUCACUUCUCUACUAUUCUAAUUACACUUGUGCUGGAUAAAAGCCUCUUUGCAGUUGCUGUUUGACAAAAUGAGUGUUUUGCAAAUGUUUAAAUAAAGAUGCUAAUAUGAAAGUGAAUAAGUCAGUGUGUUAGCAGCUGUGUGUUACUCAUCAGGGAUAAUCCACACUGCUUAAUCCUUAACCAUGUAUAUCUUGAAAUGUUUGUUAAAAGCUAGUGAAUAAAAUUAUCCCCAUUUUACAGAUGAAGAAACUAAGGAAUGGAGUGGUAACCUUGCAGAUUACCCAUCUGGGUGACCUACAGAAACAAGAAUAAAGUCCAGUUUUUUGAGACCUA
Molecule: long non-coding RNA, 1097 nt
Organism: Agelaius phoeniceus (red-winged blackbird)
Lineage: Eukaryota; Metazoa; Chordata; Aves; Passeriformes; Icteridae
Source: RefSeq, a predicted model, not a curated record